This 253-nucleotide unclassified non-coding RNA is filed under the name uncultured Chitinophagales bacterium. RNAcentral describes it as "contains 16S-23S intergenic spacer region". It matches the Rfam family "Bacterial small subunit ribosomal RNA", at positions 524 to 776 of the family's 1533-position model. The record is from RNAcentral. Lineage: Bacteria; Pseudomonadati; Bacteroidota; Chitinophagia; Chitinophagales.
UACGGGGGGGGCAAGCGUUGUUCGGAAUUACUGGGUUUAAAGGGAGCGCAGGCGGGUUGAUAAGUCCGUGGUGAAAUCUCCGAGCUUAACUCGGAAACUGCCGUGGAUACUAUUAGCCUUGAAUGAUGUGGAGGUAAGCGGAAUAUGUCAUGUAGCGGUGAAAUGCAUAGAUAUGACAUAGAACACCUAUUGCGAAGGCAGCUUACUACGCAUAUAUUGACGCUGAGGCUCGAAAGCGUGGGGAUCAAACAGG